GCCCACAUAGCUCAGUAGGUAGAGCGUCGCCUUGGUAAGGCGGAGGCCACCGGUUCAAUCCCGGUUGUGGGCUCCA
RNAcentral lists this transfer RNA (76 nucleotides) under Thermoanaerobacterales bacterium. RNAcentral describes it as "tRNA-Thr". It matches the Rfam family "tRNA". Rfam says of the family: Transfer RNA (tRNA) molecules are approximately 80 nucleotides in length. Lineage: Bacteria; Bacillati; Bacillota; Clostridia; Thermoanaerobacterales. The record is from RNAcentral.